This 253-nucleotide ribosomal RNA is filed under the name uncultured bacterium. Its description in RNAcentral is "partial 16S ribosomal RNA". It matches the Rfam family "Bacterial small subunit ribosomal RNA", at positions 524 to 776 of the family's 1533-position model. The record is from RNAcentral.
UACGGAGGAUGCAAGCGUUAUCCGGAAUGAUUGGGCGUAAAGCGUCCGCAGGUGGCUGUGUAAGUCUGCUGUUAAAGAGUCUAGCUCAACUAGAUACAAGCAGUGGAAACUACACGGCUAGAGUACGUUCGGGGCAGAGGGAAUUCCUGGUGUAGCGGUGAAAUGCGUAGAGAUCAGGAAGAACACCGGUGGCGAAGGCGCUCUGCUAGGCCGUAACUGACACUGAGGGACGAAAGCGUGGGGAGCAAACAGG